CAGCAGCCGCGGUAAUACGGAGGGUGCAAGCGUUAUCCGGAUUUAUUGGGUUUAAAGGGUCCGUAGGCGGAUCUGUAAGUCAGUGGUGAAAUCUCACAGCUUAACUGUGAAACUGCCAUUGAUACUGCAGGUCUUGAGUAAAUUUGAAGUGGCUGGAAUAAGUAGUGUAGCGGUGAAAUGCAUAGAUAUUACUUAGAACACCAAUUGCGAAGGCAGGUCACUAAGAUUUAACUGACGCUGAUGGACGAAAGCGUGGGGAGCGAACAGGAUUAGAGACCCCUGUAGUCCCUGUCUCUUAUAU
Molecule: ribosomal RNA, 301 nt
Filed under: uncultured bacterium
Lineage: Bacteria
Description: partial 16S ribosomal RNA
Rfam family: Bacterial small subunit ribosomal RNA
Source: RNAcentral